This 60-nucleotide microRNA precursor is filed under the name Callorhinchus milii (elephant shark). RNAcentral's name for it is "Cmi-Mir-92-P2d_pre stem-loop". It matches the Rfam family "mir-25 microRNA precursor family", at positions 14 to 73 of the family's 84-position model. Lineage: Eukaryota; Metazoa; Chordata; Chondrichthyes; Chimaeriformes; Callorhinchidae. The record is from RNAcentral.
AGGUGGAGACUUGGGCAAUUGCUGGGCUUCCAGGAGGGCAUUGCACUUGUCUCUGUCUGA